Long non-coding RNA from Musa acuminata AAA Group (dessert banana), 1407 nucleotides. RefSeq lists it as uncharacterized. The record is from RefSeq and is a predicted model, not a curated record. The transcript has 2 exons. Lineage: Eukaryota; Viridiplantae; Streptophyta; Magnoliopsida; Zingiberales; Musaceae.
GAAGGGGAGGAAGGAGAAGAAGAGAAGAAGAAGAAAGGAAGGAAAAGGAAGAGGAGAAGGGAAGAAAGUAGCUGCGGCUGCGGUUGUGGCAGCUGCAGCUGUGGCAGGGAAAGAAGAAGAGAAAGGAAGAAGGGGAGGAGAGGAAGAAGAGUAGGGGCUGCGGCUGCGGCGAUGGCAGCUGCAGUUGGAAGAGAAGAAGGAGAGGAAGAUGAGCAGGGGAGGAAGAAAAGGCUGUGGCCGUGGCUGAGGCUGCGACUGCAGCAUGCAGCUGGGAAAGAAGAGAAGGAAAGGAAGAAGAAGAGAAAGGAAGAAGGGAAGGAGAGGAAGAAGAGAAGGGGCUGCGGCUGCGGCGAUGGCAGCUGCAGUUGGAAGAGAAGAAGGAGAGGAAGAUGAGCAGGGGAGGAAGAAAAGGCUGUGGCCGUGGCUGAGGCUGCGACUGCAGCAUGCAGCUGGGAAAGAAGAGAAGGAAAGGAAGAAGAAGAGAAAGGAAGAAGGGAAGGAGAGGAAGAAGAGAAGGGGCUACGGCUGCGGCGAUGGCAGCUGCAGUUGGAAGAGAAGAAGGAGAGGAAGAUGAGCAGGGGAGGAAGAAGAGGCUGCGAGUGUGGUGGCUGCAGCCGUGGCUGCGACUCCGGCUGCGGCUGCAACGUUGGCUGCGGUAGCUGCGGCAGCGGUGGUGGCUGCAGUAGCUGCAGUAGCUGCUUUUGGGAAAGAGAAAGAGUAGGAACGAGAGAAGGGAAGAAGGAAAUAGUGCAGUGGAAGGGGGCUGCGGUUGUGACCGCAGUUGCGGUCGUGGCUGCGAUUGUGGCAGCGGCAGCGGCGGCGGCUAUGGCAGCUGCGUUUGGGAAAGAAAAAGAAGGAAUGAGAGUAAGAGAGAGCAGGUGACUGUGCCUCGAUGUUCGACACGUGAUGUAGUUGCGAAGAAAGGAAGAAAACGGGAGCACAAAACGAAACAAAGAGAGGACACGGAGAAAAAGUAGAAGGAUUUGAGCUGGCACCUUCUUUGGAUCUUCGGAUCGAAAUCAUUGAAAGGUCAGCUUGUCACUCUUCGAGAUGUUUGAUUUGGGCUGAGGCAGUGGAUAGCUAUUCAGAAUAAUGGGCAAGUCUGGUUGGUUAUUACGAUAUUGUUGUAUAAGUAUGUCUUGUAUGUAAUGAAAUGUUGUCGAUGAACCGAAAUGGAUAUACUGUGUCAGAGUGUUAGGAGAUCUCUCUUAUUUGGAAUUUCAGAAUGUUAAGUCUAAUUUAUGGUGAUAUGAACUUGUGGUGAAUAGUUGGAGUUCUGAUUGUAUAAUUUAUUUAGCUUGUGGAUUUAUAAAUGUUGUUCUUGUUUGUCAAGUUGGCUUGGGUUGCCAUAAAUGUGAAUUAUCGAGUGAUGUGAUAUAUGAUUAUAAACUGCACAGGUUUUAUGGA